RNAcentral lists this ribosomal RNA (253 nucleotides) under uncultured bacterium. Its description in RNAcentral is "partial 16S ribosomal RNA". It matches the Rfam family "Bacterial small subunit ribosomal RNA", at positions 524 to 776 of the family's 1533-position model. The record is from RNAcentral.
GACGUAGGAGGCGAGCGUUGUCCGGAUUCAUUGGGCGUAAAGAGCACGCAGGCGGUUUGGCAAGUCGGAUGUGAAAACCCGAAGCUCAACUUCGGGCCUGCAUCCGAAACUGCCCGACUAGAGGUAGGUAGGGGAGAUCGGAAUUCCUGGUGUAGCGGUGAAAUGCGCAGAUAUCAGGAGGAACACCGGUGGCGAAGGCGGAUCUCUGGACCGUAACUGACGCUGAAACACGAAAGCGUGGGUAGCAAACAGG